Molecule: ribosomal RNA, 493 nt
Filed under: Microbacteriaceae bacterium
Lineage: Bacteria; Bacillati; Actinomycetota; Actinomycetes; Micrococcales; Microbacteriaceae
Description: bacterial SSU rRNA
Rfam family: Bacterial small subunit ribosomal RNA
Source: RNAcentral
GGCGUCUAAUACCGGAUAUGACAACCGACGGCAUCGUCUGGUUGUGGAAAGAAUUUUGGUCAAGGAUGGACUCGCGGCCUAUCAGCUUGUUGGUGAGGUAAUGGCUCACCAAGGCGACGACGGGUAGCCGGCCUGAGAGGGUGACCGGCCACACUGGGACUGAGACACGGCCCAGACUCCUACGGGAGGCAGCAGUGGGGAAUAUUGCACAAUGGGCGAAAGCCUGAUGCAGCAACGCCGCGUGAGGGACGACGGCCUUCGGGUUGUAAACCUCUUUUAGCAGGGAAGAAGCGAAAGUGACGGUACCUGCAGAAAAAGCACCGGCUAACUACGUGCCAGCAGCCGCGGUAAUACGUAGGGUGCAAGCGUUGUCCGGAAUUAUUGGGCGUAAAGAGCUCGUAGGCGGUUUGUCGCGUCUGCUGUGAAAUCCCGAGGCUCAACCUCGGGUCUGCAGUGGGUACGGGCAGACUAGAGUGCGGUAGGGGAGAUUGGA